AUGAGGGCUACAACCAGGUACAGCCAGCGCAGGAGUGUACAGGCUGAAGACACACCGAGCUCCAGAACAAAUGCCCAAUCAGAAGAUGAAGCAGACUUCAUCAAACAGAGUAAUCAGACAGUCCUGACUGGGAUGUUUCAGCGGAGCCGAAAAGAAAAAACACCUACGUUCACUAGUUAUGUGUUCGACAGCUCUGACAAAGAGGAAAAAACGGAUGAUGUUCCUGCCAAACAGGCUUCUGGCAGCAAACCGGGUGGUCUGAAGGGAGUAAUGAAAGGGUUGCAAUUCAAGUCAUCACCAAAGGCCAGCAGAGAGCCGAGUCCAGACCCGAGCGCAGAGGAAGCAGCCUCCGAAAAGGAACAGUUCAUAGAAAAAAACAAGCAGGAGAAGAAUGCGAAACCCAAAGAGGACAUAGGAGGUCUGAUCGCUGGAAUGUUCCGGAAAACUCCCAGAGAGAAAUCAUCGUCUCCAGCAGUGACGGUCAAUAAAGCUGACAGCGAUCCUGAAGAUACAGAAGACGCAGAUGAGAAGAGUUCCGAACAAUCCCAAGAAAAGGGAGGCUUGUUCUCUGGCAUCCUUAAGAAACACAAUAAAACAGCAGAUGAGGCACCUGCGCAGGUGAGAGACAAGAAUGGCCUCCUCCGUCUUAAAAUAGGAAAUAAAGAUCUGUUGAUACAUUUAAUUAUUUUUGUGUGUUUUUUCACUUUUUAUUGUUUUGUUUUUUUACGUUUGUGUUUCAGGACAGUCUGAGUGUUAACAGUGAGCUGUCUGCCAGCAGCGACAGUCUGUCUGAAAAUAACAGCAACAAGGUGAGCAGCUCUGUGUCACAGUGCAGAUAAAGUAAUCUUUAAUUACAGUGUACACACAGAUUAGCAGUUCGUCAUGCUGAAAGGCCCCUCACUGACCGGAGCUUCACCCAAAUAUAUAUUCCAUAACUGAGCCUUUUCUUUUGUCUGUUUCAGGAAA
This 966-nucleotide long non-coding RNA is filed under the name Sparus aurata (gilthead seabream). Its description in RNAcentral is "lncRNA (ENSSAUG00010016068.1)". The record is from RNAcentral. Lineage: Eukaryota; Metazoa; Chordata; Actinopteri; Spariformes; Sparidae.